GAUGAACGCUGGCGGCGUGCUUAAGACAUGCAAGUCGAACGGAGUGUGUAGCAAUACUCACUAAGUGGCGAAUGGGUGAGUAACACGUAGGUGACCUGCCCUGAAGUGCGGAAUAACAGUCCGAAAGGAUUGCUAAUACCGCAUGUGGUCCCGGGCGUUAGAGAACCGGGUCUAAAGACAGUAAUGCGCUUCAGGAGGGGCCUGCGGUCCAUCAGCUAGUUGGUGAGGUAACGGCCUACCAAGGCGACAAUCCGUAGCUGGUCUGAGAGGACGACCAGCCACACUGGGACUGAGACACGGCCCAGACUCCUACGGGAGCAGCAGUGGGGAAUUUUGGGCAAUGGGCGCAAGCCUGACCCAGCAACGCCGCGUGAGGGAGGAAAUCCUUCGGGAUGU
This 396-nucleotide ribosomal RNA is filed under the name uncultured bacterium. Its description in RNAcentral is "bacterial SSU rRNA". It matches the Rfam family "Bacterial small subunit ribosomal RNA", at positions 28 to 426 of the family's 1533-position model. The record is from RNAcentral.